UACGUAGGGGCCAAGCGUUGUCCGGAUUUAUUGGGCGUAAAGAGCUCGUAGGCGGUUGGGUAAGUCGGGUGUGAAAACUCCAGGCUCAACUUGGAGAUGCCACCCGAUACUGCUCUGACUUGAGUUCGGUAGGGGAGUGGGGAAUUCCUGGUGUAGCGGUGAAAUGCGCAGAUAUCGGGAGGAACACCGAUGGCGAAGGCAGCACUCUGGGCCGGUACUGACGCUGAGGAGCGAAAGCGUGGGGAGCGAACAGG
This 254-nucleotide ribosomal RNA is filed under the name uncultured bacterium. RNAcentral describes it as "partial 16S ribosomal RNA". It matches the Rfam family "Bacterial small subunit ribosomal RNA", at positions 524 to 776 of the family's 1533-position model. The record is from RNAcentral.